ACACGAGAGGGGAGGUGGUCCAAAGUUGAAUACUUAUCGGACUCGUGAGGUGGCUACUUCCUAGCCGCCCGUUGGACUACGGUCCGAACCGCUGCCUUUGUGCACGUAGACGGCGGUGAGGCAAACCAAGGUAACCACCGACCCCUCAGGCUGCCGGACUCGUCCGACCGGCUCCGCGAUACGAAUCGCGGAACAAAGCCUGAGGGGCUUUUUAA
Molecule: small RNA, 215 nt
Filed under: Cryptosporangium arvum DSM 44712
Lineage: Bacteria; Bacillati; Actinomycetota; Actinomycetes; Cryptosporangiales; Cryptosporangiaceae
Description: Actinobacteria sRNA Ms_IGR-5
Rfam family: Actinobacteria sRNA Ms_IGR-5
Source: Rfam by way of RNAcentral